AGAGUUUGAUCCUGGCUCAGAUUGAACGCUGGCGGCAGGCUUAACACAUGCAAGUCGAGCGGAGAGAGGUAGCUUGCUACUGAUCUUAGCGGCGGACGGGUGAGUAAUGCUUAGGAAUCUGCCUAUUAGUGGGGGACAACAUUUCGAAAGGAAUGCUAAUACCGCAUACGUCCUACGGGAGAAAGCAGGGGAUCUUCGGACCUUGCGCUAAUAGAUGAGCCUAAGUCGGAUUAGCUAGUUGGUGGGGUAAAGGCCUACCAAGGCGACGAUCUGUAGCGGGUCUGAGAGGAUGAUCCGCCACACUGGGACUGAGACACGGCCCAGACUCCUACGGGAGGCAGCAGUGGGGAAUAUUGGACAAUGGGCGCAAGCCUGAUCCAGCCAUGCCGCGUGUGUGAAGAAGGCCUUAUGGUUGUAAAGCACUUUAAGCGAGGAGGAGGCUACUUUAGUUAAUACCUAGAGAUAGUGGACGUUACUCGCAGAAUAAGCACCGGCUAACUCUGUGCCAGCAGCCGCGGUAAUACAGAGGGUGCAAGCGUUAAUCGGAUUUACUGGGCGUAAAGCGCGCGUAGGCGGCUAAUUAAGUCAAAUGUGAAAUCCCCGAGCUUAACUUGGGAAUUGCAUUCGAUACUGGUUAGCUAGAGUGUGGGAGAGGAUGGUAGAAUUCCAGGUGUAGCGGUGAAAUGCGUAGAGAUCUGGAGGAAUACCGAUGGCGAAGGCAGCCAUCUGGCCUAACACUGACGCUGAGGUGCGAAAGCAUGGGGAGCAAACAGGAUUAGAUACCCUGGUAGUCCAUGCCGUAAACGAUGUCUACUAGCCGUUGGGGCCUUUGAGGCUUUAGUGGCGCAGCUAACGCGAUAAGUAGACCGCCUGGGGAGUACGGUCGCAAGACUAAAACUCAAAUGAAUUGACGGGGGCCCGCACAAGCGGUGGAACCAUGUGGUUUAAUUCGAUGCAACGCGAAGAACCUUACCUGGCCUUGACAUAGUAAGAACUUUCCAGAGAUGGAUUGGUGCCUUCGGGAACUUACAUACAGGUGCUGCAUGGCUGUCGUCAGCUCGUGUCGUGAGAUGUUGGGUUAAGUCCCGCAACGAGCGCAACCCUUUUCCUUAUUUGCCAGCGAGUAAUGUCGGGAACUUUAAGGAUACUGCCAGUGACAAACUGGAGGAAGGCGGGGACGACGUCAAGUCAUCAUGGCCCUUACGGCCAGGGCUACACACGUGCUACAAUGGUCGGUACAAAGGGUUGCUACCUAGCGAUAGGAUGCUAAUCUCAAAAAGCCGAUCGUAGUCCGGAUUGGAGUCUGCAACUCGACUCCAUGAAGUCGGAAUCGCUAGUAAUCGCGGAUCAGAAUGCCGCGGUGAAUACGUUCCCGGGCCUUGUACACACCGCCCGUCACACCAUGGGAGUUUGUUGCACCAGAAGUAGCUAGCCUAACUGCAAAGAGGGCGGUUACCACGGUGUGGCCGAUGACUGGGGUGAAGUCGUAACAAGGUAGCCGUAGGGGAACCUGNGGAUGGAUCACCUCCUUA
RNAcentral lists this ribosomal RNA (1532 nucleotides) under Acinetobacter pittii DSM 21653. RNAcentral's name for it is "16S ribosomal RNA". It matches the Rfam family "Bacterial small subunit ribosomal RNA". The record is from RNAcentral. Lineage: Bacteria; Pseudomonadati; Pseudomonadota; Gammaproteobacteria; Moraxellales; Moraxellaceae.